This 253-nucleotide ribosomal RNA is filed under the name uncultured bacterium. Its description in RNAcentral is "partial 16S ribosomal RNA". It matches the Rfam family "Bacterial small subunit ribosomal RNA", at positions 524 to 776 of the family's 1533-position model. The record is from RNAcentral.
UACGUAGGGGGCAAGCGUUGUCCGGAAUCAUUGGGCGUAAAGCGCGUGUAGGCGGCCAGAAAAGUCCGCUGUGAAAACUCGAGGCUCAACUUCGAGCUGUCGGUGGAAACUUUCUGGCUAGAGUCCGGAAGAGGAGAAUCGAAUUCCUGGUGUAGCGGUGAAAUGCGCAGAUAUCAGGAAGAACACCCGUGGCGAAGGCGGUUCUCUGGGACGGUACUGACGCUGAGACGCGAAAGCGUGGGGAGCGAACAGG